Molecule: ribosomal RNA, 305 nt
Filed under: uncultured bacterium
Lineage: Bacteria
Description: bacterial SSU rRNA
Rfam family: Bacterial small subunit ribosomal RNA
Source: RNAcentral
CCCUACGGGGCGCAGCAGUGAGGAAUAUUGGUCAAUGGUCGGGAGACUGAACCAGCCAAGCCGCGUGAGGGAUGAAGGUACAGAGUAUCGUAAACCUCUUUUGUCAGGGAACAAAGGCGGGGACGCGUCCCCGGAUGAGUGUACCUGAAGAAAAAGCAUCGGCUAACUCCGUGCCAGCAGCCGCGGUAAUACGGAGGAUGCGAGCGUUAUCCGGAUUUAUUGGGUUUAAAGGGUGCGCAGGCGGUCUGUUAAGUCAGCGGUCAAAGUCCGGGGCCCAACCCCUGCCCGCCGUUGAAACUGGCAGU